CGGAGGCUCCUCCUCUCUGCUCCGACAGGGACAGGUAAUCCAUCAGUUAGUGUUAAAAUGCACGAGCUUUGUGCAGCAACAGGCUGUAAUAACAAGAACAGCUGUAGAGAGAGUCUUUGCUCUGCACGGCCGCCUGCACCGGCUACCGGCCCGCAGCAGGCUCCUGGAUAGGCGCUACGAAGUCGCUGCUAACACAGUUAGCAUUCAUAAUUCAAGACCGAGGGAAAACAUGUUUAACGUGCAAAGCGAAGGUGACGUCACCGACCUCAGCGUUAACAGAGACAGCGGGUUGUCGGUGUCGGCAAGGUCUGGAUCUUUGGGGACACCUACAACCUCUUGCAGCAAUGACGGAGGCCCUGCACCACCUCCACCUCGAGGAAGAAUAUACAGUCUUCAGUGUAUUCAGUGUGACUUGCUGACACCUAGGAACAACUCUACAACCCUACUGAGUUGGCCCCUUGAUCCUUUCAUCAAGGAGAACACCCCUUCUUCCCUCUUACAUCACCAAGGCUUCAUCGUCUUAACAACAUCUUACCUGUAGAUAUGUUGAUUCAGUCCAAGGGCUCUUCCUGCCCUACCUGUGGAUAUGCUGAUCCAGCCUAAGAGCCCCUCCUACCCCCUUGAUAACUUGAACCUAGGUGUUACAUUGCAAGACCUCUAGAGAACAUUACCUUUUGCUUCUAACCUCCUUUCCAACUUGUUAUCCUGUCUGACCAAAUGUCUGUAAGCCCAGGUCUAUGCAAAUACAAUUGUGUAUCCCUUUGUCUUCAACUGUAUAACUGUCCCCCUGCCCUUCACUCUGGGUCAGUCUCCUGCCUCAGACCCGCUCUGUGUCAGUUGCCUCACCGUAUCCUGGGAAACAAUAAACUUACAUCACUACAGCAAACUUGAAACUAAGGACUUUUCUUCAACAACCUGCAGUGUCCACACAUGAAGAUCUUCUCUUCCCAAACAUAAACACAGUGUCUUACAUGAUAAUAUAGUAUUUUUUUUUAAUGUAACACUUGUGGCCAUAACAUUGUUCAGUCUGAUCAGCUCUGCUCUUCCUUGUUCCCUACACCCUCACUGUCGUAUUACACUCUCUGCCCCGUGUCAGACAUACAAUCACAUGACUUUUGGACUCCACUGUAGCUGUAACAAACUGUCAAUACUUUAAAACAUUAGAGUUUAUAUUUCAUAGUCCUCAUCCAUUAUAGUUAAUAUCAGUGUGCUGUUCCGACAGCAUCACUUAUUUAGGGGAGAGAGAUUGUUACUGGGGCAAAUAAAUAUGAACUGUCUCACACAUUAGGAUUCAUGAUGAAUAAUGAUUAUACUUGUUAAUAAAAAUUCUGUUGCACUGUU
Seriola aureovittata is the source of this 1341-nucleotide long non-coding RNA. RefSeq lists it as uncharacterized. The record is from RefSeq and is a predicted model, not a curated record. Lineage: Eukaryota; Metazoa; Chordata; Actinopteri; Carangiformes; Carangidae. The transcript has 3 exons.